AAGCAAGAUUCAUUUUUGGAAAGGAAACCAUUCUAACUAACAGGGUGAGUCUUGCAUCCAGAAAGUAUAAACAGCAGGUCAUUCCUUUAACUGGUUAAAGCCAGAUCUCUUUAGUCCCAUCUCCUUUUCCUUUCACACAGAAACACUGCACAUUGCUCUGUUUAAUAGUGUUAGGCUCAGCACACUGAGCUUAAAUAAAAGAAAGUUCUAUACAAAAUACAGUGAUAUCCUGAAUUAAAUGGAAUCCAUUAUCUUCCAAUAUAACAACAAUGGGUGGAAAGAGUAAGACAGCCUAAAUACGAUAAGGUUAUGUUAAAGAAAAAGAAUUUUAAAAAAUGUCAUCUUCUAUGGAGUAUUUAAAAAAAAAAAAAAAAAAAAAAAGGUUGUUAAAGGGACACUAUAGGCAUUAAAAACAAGUUUAGCCUAACAAAGCUGUUUUGGUGUAUAGUUCAUGCCCCUGCAAUCUGACUGUUCAAAUUUCUGCUAUUUAUGACUUAAAUCACUUUUGUUUCUGUUUAUGCAGCUCUAGCCACACCUCCCCUGACCUGACAUUUUCAAUCAAAAGUUAACUUGCUUAAACGGAUACUCCAGGCACCAAAACAACGUAAUCAAAUAGAGUUUUUAUGGUGCCAGGAGGUCCCUGGAGGCAUUCUUACCUCAAGGAGUAAAACCGUUCUCCAAUGGUUUAACCACAAAGUUGUCUCCAGCGGCGAUGUCCACUCCACCUAGACAACAUUCGGCUUCUGAAUUUUCAGAUUCAGGAAGCGCAAAGUGCCGCCUCAAUUCAGGAAGCACAGAGAACGGGCCACUGACGCUCUAAGACAAUCAUUGACGCCCCAUUUACUAAACUGGAUUGGAAAAGGUACGUUUCUUUCAGAGCCAGUUUAGUAAACGGGGAGUCACUGAAUGGCUGAGAGAGAUACACAAACUAACAAGAAUAUUUUUAUUGACAAAUAGCUACAUGUAUUUAGGCAAGCAGUUUCUCCAAUGACACUGACACUGAUGCCCUGCUUCCUGCUUAAAAAAAAAUCAAUUCAAUGCCCCAAUGCCACACACUUCCUGGCCGUCCUCCGCAAGUCUUCUUUGAUUUGUCAUGCUUGGGAUCUCGUCUGUGACAUUAGCAUGCUGGCUUUGUCGUCAGCAUUAGAAUGGAGUGACGUCACAUCACUCUGUUCCUGUACUCAUUAUCAGCACUAGGGGAGAUUCUAUAGCAACCACAGCGUAUGCAAUGUAGUUGCGAUGGGAGAAGAGCAGAGGGACCUUCCAUGGGAGGACUUUUCUGCACUCUCUUGUCAGGAUUGACUGACAGCUGGGGGGGAGGGGCGAGAGAACACUUUAAAAAAAAAAAUUCUCCUAAUUUAUAUAUUUGCUAGCAAAACUGCUAGUACAAUGUAUAGAUAAAAUUGUAUGCCCGAUCUAAUGAGCAUAGGUUGCUUGGGGUAUGAAGGUAUUCUUUAAUGAAGAAAUCACAAGUUGGGCCCGGUUUUAAAACAACACAUUUUCAGACUUCCGUAGCAUUUUUGUCAGAUAAAUGGUUUGUGAAAUUUAGACUGUGAUUGCUUUAAUAACUGUUGCAAGAAAGAAAUGUUAUUGAUUGUUUACCGAUUCUAUACUGCUAAAUACGCCAUUAUCUUCAAUAACUACCUAUCAAGCAAAGCCACAUAGAAGCUGGAUAUUAAAAAAUAAAUCCCCAAAUAUGCCAAAGACUUGACUUUCCAAUCAAUUUUAUACAGGGAUUAGAUUAAAAAAUUUUGAAAUGUACCAAACUUAUUUGUGACCCAAGUGUGACUAAUUCACUAGCUGAAGUUUCCCUUAUAAUCUGGUAUCCAUGUUUUUGAGGCUAUUGUUAUUGGUUUUGUUAUCUAUAUAUUUUUUUUUGUUUAGUUUUUCUUUAUUUAUAUGUUAUUAUUCACUGACUCGGUGUCUUACCCAUUAUUAAUGCAUUGUUUAUAACUUUAAAAAAAACAACAACAUAAAAACGGAGUCAUUAAAAAAUAAAAUAAAAUAAAUUCCUGCCUUUAGCAUGAUUUCUACAAUUAUCUGGUCCUAAAUGGAAGUUAGUCUAUAGGAGCAGAAUGGAUGAUACUAUAGGACUCAAAGUAAAUUGAGCCGCAAUUGUGGGCAAGCAUCACAGAACAUAACUAAGGAAACGUAUCAAUGGGUUGCUGAAUAAGCUACUUUUUUUUUUUUUUUAAACUUUGGAUUGUCUUUUCUACUAGUUUUUACUUCUGUGCCUUUUCCUUACUUUUUUCUCCUUCAACACUUAUUUUAGCAAAGCAAAAUAAUAAGUAAAAUACAUGUGGAUUAACAAUAUUUGGUUAAUGUACAUAAUUGUGGAGGUGCAAAAUAAAAAAAGAAAAUUUGGAAUAAACAAAGAUGAUACUUUUUAAAACUACUUUUAAAACAUAAUACAUUCGAACUAAUUUUUCACUUUCACUUAUGGUUUCCACAUUUACUCUUGACAAAUCCCAUGAGUAUUGCUUCUAUAUUUUUCUACUGCCACUACCUAGAGGCUUAGAUCUCCAUACUGAUUGGUUCAAAAACACAUUUAACCAAAACAUAAAGCAAGUGGCUGCAGAUCUCUAUAUAUUUAUAAACUCUGGUUUAACUGUAUCCGUAUACUUCAUUAGAAUUUGAACAAUGACACAAAAGCUGUUACACAUUUUAAGCACAGUCCCUCCAUCUUAGAAGUCUAUGAAUAAUUGGGAAAAUUAAUAUAAUCUGCAAAAAGUAGUUCUAUUUAUAUUUGAAAAUCCUUCACAUCUAAUCACUGGUUUAAACUUGAGAACACUAGAUAUCACUAGAUGCUAGAUGACUUCUCUGUUGAUAUUCUAAGUGAACAAUUUGCAGCAUCUAGAGGAUCUGAUGCGGAAAUCUUGGUACCAGAUACCACAGGACACGUUUAGAGUUCCUGUGGAAUCCAUGCCUUGCCAAGUCAGAGCUGUUUUUGGCAACACUAGGAGGACCUAUACGUUAUGAGGCAAGUGGUUUUAAUGUUGUGGAUGAUCAGUGUAUCUUGGUGUGUUUGGCAGCUGUCUUUACAACCACAAUAUUUUUUUAGUGAACAACUACAAUGGUCUUCCAAGUCAUGUGCAAUUGUUGAACUAAUCUAUUUGAAAAUAAUGUACUAUUUACUGUGGGCCAGUCCCAGGGGACACCUGGUAACAUAACCGCUGUGGUACAUUAUAUUUCUUAUGGUGGUUAGACAACCCAUCUAAUAAUUUAAAUAAAUGUUAAUGUAAUAGUGAUUUGGACAAAUCUAAGCCAUGUGCUUUUAUUUACAAGGUGUACUUCUAAUGUAGCAAGGAUACUUUUUUUUCACUGGUUGUCACAAGAGACAAUUGUAGCAGACUACAAAAUCAAUUCAGGACAUUUUCCUAGUUGUCCUGUGCAUUAACUUAAGAUCAAACAAAAUACACAGGGCCAAAAAAAAAAAAAAAGGCUAAAUCAGAGUAAGUAGCCAAUUAUCCAAUCAGUUUUCAUACCCUUAAAAUGAAAGGGCUUAUGAUGGGUAUGCAAAUUGCUCAAAGUUGACAGUCUGCACAUUAUCCUCUUAAUAGAAGUUUAAUUUCAGACCCAUGUGCUAGAAUACAAAACAAUACUUGUGCCAGUAACGUAAGCAUUUCAGGGUUUUCUUUUUUUCCCUCCACCUCUGGGAUAAGCACAACUGAGAAGCUGCAAAGCUCAGCAUCUUUACAAUUCCAGAUGCUUCGAAACGCAAUUGGUGACCUGGGAGUUACUUCUUUGCAAGUCAAUAAUAGAUCAUCAACCACAGAUACUAGCAAGCUGAGCUCACUUGUUGCAUAGUUCCCUGCAGAUGGGAAUCAAACCAAAUGUCUGCAUUAUAUUUUUCUCAGACAGCUUACUUCAGAAAUUGGUAAAUUAGGAUUCUAGUAAUUUCAAAAGCUAAAUAAACAUGUUAAACCACACAGAGUAAUCCUUGUAUGUAGAAUGUCACUUCAACCAAGGGCAAUAUUCAGUGUUGUGCGGUUAAUGUUGUAAUGAUUGAAACUCACAUUUUGGUUGGCCUGCAGAAAACAGACUCGAUUAUAAGUCGACCCGAAUAUAAGUCGAGACCCCUAAUUUUACCCCAAAAAACUGGGAAAACUUAUUGACUCGAGUAUAAGACUAGGAUGGGAAAUGCAGCAGCUACUGGUAAAUUUCUAAAUAAAAUUAUAUCCCGAAAAAAUUAUAUUAAUUGAAUAUUUAUUUACAGUGUGUGUAUAUGAUGAAUGCAGUGUGUGUGUGUAUGAAUGCAGUGUGUGUAUGUGUGCAGUGUGUGUGUAUGAAUGCAGUGUGUGUAUGAAUGCAGUGUGUGUGUGUGAUGCAGAGUGUGUUUGUGUAUGUGAUGCAGAGCCUUAGUGGGGGGUGGGCAUUUUUAUUAUUUUUUUUAAUUAUUAUUAUUAUUUUAAAUUUUUUUGUUAUAUUAAUAUUUUAUUUUUAUUUUAUUUUUUUAAAAUAUUAUUAAUAUUUUAUUAUUAUUUAAAUUUGUAUUUAUUUUUUUUCGUCCCCCCUCCCUGCUUGAUACCUGGCCAGGGAGGGGGGCUCUCAUUCCCUGGUGGUCCAGUGGUGUGCACUGUGUAGGAGGGGACUGGCAGAAAGCUGUAACUUACCUUUCCCGAGACUUGCAGGUUUGCUGACAGAGGAGCUUACCGGAGGAGAGAGAAGGGAGCUGACAGGAGCUGCAGGAAAGGUAAGUUACAGCUCUCUGCCAGCCCCCAACAGGACCGCCGGGCUUGUAAUGAGCCCAGUGGUCCUAGUCUGUAUUAUGGCAAUGUAAGUUGCCAUAAUACAGACAGUGACUCGAGUAUAAGUAGAGUGGGGGUUUUUCAGCACAAAAAAUGUGCUGAAAAACUCGACUUAUACUCGAGUAUAUACGGUACAUGCUUUGCACUAAAAUCUGAUAGCUUAAUUUUCCGGCUAACUUCCACAUUUCUAUGUUAGAUCUACUUGUGUCCCUUUAGGAACCUGCAAAUCACAAGGGCCUGUGCCUGAUCUCCUCCUUAAAGUGGUCGUGCCAUGUAGUACAAUUGUUAUAAGGCUGAAGGUUAUAAGGCUUUCGAGAGUUUCCACUCUUCCUCAGGUCUGAAGCAAUACUGAAUCAAUCUGAUAGAGUUUAACACUUAAAAUAACUGAUGUUAGAAAAGGGGAUGAAGGGAGGGGGGUGAAUGGGUGUCAUAAAUAGCAGCAGAUGUGCCUGAAAGUGAAAGGUGCAGGUUGGCUGAGAAUAGCCAGAAAAAGUAAAUAAAACAGAUGAGCUUAUUGACUCCCCUCUGUUUAUUUACUUUUUUCUGGCUAUUCACAGCCAACCUAUGUGAGCAGGUAAGUAGUUAUAGUGCUUGGUGUGUUCUUUCAUCCUAAAAUAUUGUGCGGUAUCAAAAACCCCUGACGAUAACCGUAUAAAAUAUUUUUAGAUAGUACCUCAACAAUUCUGAUGAUUCUCCGAGUAUUGUUUAGCAUUAUUGGUGCUUAAUUACUCAAUAUUUAUAUAUUUUGCCAGCUGUUUAGUGAAUACAAUAUAUAGUUGAAAUUAAGAUUAGAAUAGGGCUCUGUGCUAUUUUAUAAAGUGAACUUCACACUUAAUUCAAGAAAAUAACGUUUCAAACAAACAAAAGACUUUCUGACAGCAAGCACAAAUCUUAAAUUAUGUCUAAGCCUGUUUAAAUUUGCAUGUCCUUUCGCAGUAUUUUGAUGAUAAAUUCCCUUUGAAGAGAGGGAGAGAGAUAGGAGUGUGUGAUUUGGAACAAAAUCCAGAGCUUAGUAGGAGGACACUGGAAAAAAAAAAAAAAAAAAGCUGUGAAAGGGAAAAAAGAGAGAUAGGAGGUGAUGCAGGAAACUGGUGUCACGUUGCUAGUUAAGAAAUAGAAAAUCAUAAGGCCUGCAGAACUGAAUAUAUGGGCCAAGGUUGAAGAGAGGCUAGAGGCUAGGAAGAGAUAAAAUAAGAAAAUACAUAAUGAUCUAAACACAAGCAAAUUACUGUAAUUUUCUUUUAUUUAAUUGGAUGAUAAUAACAACAUCAAGGUACUCUGAUUAAUAAUGACCUUUUUGGUUUUAAUGUAUUUACUUAUUUUAUCUAGAAUGAGGUUCUCAACUGCUUAGAUAAUUAGCACCAUACUCCUGACUUCAAGAAACAUUAUUUAGCCGUGUACUUUGAUCAAUGCCUUUAAUCCCCUGCCUGCCAGAGGGUUCUCAAGUUCACUGUGCAGGGGUUAAUAAUAAACAGGGAUACACUGCCAGCAGUGAUGUCAGAUUGCUGGAGAAGGUCUAUUAAGCCUUCGUGCUGGAUUCAGUGUCUUUUCUACAUUGUCAAUGAUAAAAACAAAGCACAUGCAGUUCAAUGCCAAAAAAGUCAUCCAGCUUGCAAGUGGGAAAAGUAAAGUCUGACUAGAGGCUGAUAAAAUACUAUGUUAAUUUGUGAUAAAAUAGGCAUCUGCUUAAAGAGCAUGGAUAUGAAGAGAAAAACAUGUUUUCUUAAACUGAAAUAACUUUUAGUCUGACGCAGCGGUGAGAUGAACUUAAAAGAAAGACAUUGGGAUCUAUUGACUACAGCAGGAAAUCUUGUAAAUCGAGUAAGGAGAUACACAUGUUUAGGCAAAACAAUCAAGCUCAAAAACAGUUCAACACAGACUGUGCCAGAGGAAUGCAGGCACUAUCAUCACAAAAGCGAGCUGGAGUGGUAGUGGGUUUUUUUCCAUUUUAUUUUCAUUAACAAACAAAAAUGUAGAAUUAUAAUAACACUCUGAAUUGACAUUUGUCAUGAAUGGAGAUACCCUAACACACAAACCUAAAGGAAACAGUAAGAGAACAUGUACAGGUCCUUAGAGUGCCUAAGACAGAUAAAUGAAUUGUCUGCAAGCAGACAGAGAAUAAACAAGACAUAGACCUAAGUGUAAGAUAUCAUAGAAUAGAUACACAGAUUCGAUAGUCAGGCCAAGAUCAGGAUAACAGAGAGCAAGAAUGGUCAAACAAGCCAAGGUCAGAAAAGAGUAAAUCCAAUACAUAGUAUAAAUGCACUCCCAGGUAACAAGAAGCAUGACAGGACAAGGAAAUAAGGACAACCAGUAAGUAUAAACCAUAUGAUUGGUUGCAAAGGGCAAUGAUGAUACUAGAGUGCCACAUAGACGGACAUUAUAAAAAGAGACCAAUGGAAGCGUUCCAUGUCAUAUAUGACAUCAUAGUAAGGAGCCAGAAAGUUAGGGAUGUGUGGGUGUGCCUCAGAACACAGAUGUGACAUCAUUUCUUUGAUCGUACUGUCGAGAGACUGGUAUUGUGACAUCAGACACCUGAGUAGGUGAGUCACUUCUGGUGGUCAUUCACUGAAUUAGCUUUUUGAUGCUGGCAUUGGGAAGUCAAAAAGAAAACGAGAAAGCAGAUAGUAAAAAAGAAAACCUGCUUUAGUGAAAAUGCUUUUUUUGGGAUUUAGAUUGUAUCUUUAAGCUUUUUUUGGCAAAACGUGAUUUCACAUCUGGCUUCUGUCAACAAGCCAGCCUGGAAGAAACAAAAACGUUCAAUUCUGGCUGUAUCAAUUUUAUACAAAUUUUCAUGUAGCAAAAAGAGAGAGAGCCAAGGUUUAGACCCCAGAUCUGCUUAAAACUUUGCAUUAAACACUGAACCAGGCUAUAUCUAAACUGAACUGAACAGAACAGAGGAGGUAUGUAAUAUUGCUAAUUCACAAAAAGUACAAAAGACUCAUGAUGAUAUUAAAUGUAUGCUUACUAAUCUAAGGAGCCUAUAUCACAAAAUGGGGGAACUAGAGGCAAUAGCAUACAUUAAACAAUAUGAUAUAAUAGGCAUAACAGAAACAUGGUAGGAUGAGACACAUGACUGGGCAGUUAACUUAAAUGGGUACAUGUUAUUUAGGAAGGAUAGGAAAAAUAAGAAGGGUGGUGGGGUAUGUUUAUAUGUCAACCAUGAGUUAAAGGACCACUAUAGUGCCAGGAAGACAUACUCGUUUUCCUGGCACUAUAGUGCCCUGAGGGUGCCCCCACCCUCAGGGUCCCCCUCCCGCCCGGCUCUGGAAAGGGGUAAAAACUUACCUUUUUCCAGCGCCGGGCGGGGAGCUCUCCUCCUUCUCUCCGCCCAUUCGGCUGAAUGCGCACGCGCGGCAAGAACUGCGCGCGCAUUCAGCCGGUCUCAUAGGAAAGCAUUUACAAUGCUUUCCUAUGGACGCUUGCGUGCUCUCACUGUGAUUUUGAGGAAGGCUUUGGAGGAAGGCUUAACCCAUUUAUAAACAUAGCAGUUUCUCUGAAACUGCUAUGUUUAUAAAAAAAUGGGUUAACCCUAGCUGGACCUGGCACCCAGACCACUUCAUUAAGCUGAAGUGGUCUGGGUGCCUAGGGUAGUCCUUUAAAGUCAAAUCUUAGGCAUGUGGAGUGUGACGAGGAAAAUGUGGAAGCUUUAUGGGUAGAUAUCUGCUUGGGGCAAACAAAGGGAAAUCAAUUAUUGGUUGGGAUAUGUUAUAAACCACCUAAUGUAAAUAUUAUUGAGGAAGAACAGCAAAUUGGGAAAGCUGAAAAUCAAGGAAACACGUUAAUUAUUGGAGAUUUUAAUUACCCGGACAUGAAUUGGGAUAGAGGGACUAGUACUUCAGCAAGGGUAAUCAGGUUUUUGAAUGUGUUAAAUGACACCUUUAUGUCACAACUGGUACAAGCACCAACUAGAAAGGAUGCUUGUCUGGAUCUCGUUAUAACAAACAAUGUUGAUCUUUUAACCAACAUUCAAGUAGGGGAGCAUUUGGGAAAUAGUGAUCACUAGAGAUGUCGCGAACUGUCCGCCGAACUGUUCGCGAACUGUCCGCCGGCUAACAAUAGCGUGUUCGCGUUGGGUGAACAUAUCCGAUUUCCGGUCCACCCCCUAUACGUCAUCAUUGAGUAAACUUUGACCCGGAACCUCACAGUCAGCAGACACUUCCUGGGAGGGAGGGUCUGCUGCUGAUUGGGUGGAAUGUGUCUGCUGGCUGUGAGGUUCCGGGUCAAAGUUUACUCAAUGAUGACGUAUAGGGGGCGGACCGGAAAUCGUAUAUGUUCGCCCAACGCGAACACACUAUUGUUCGCCGGCUGACAGUUCGCGAACAGUUCGGCGGACAGUUAGCGACAUCUCUAGUGAUCACAAUAUGGUAAUUUUUUAAAUAAACUCAAAAAAGCAAAAGCAAGUGGGGUAUACUAAAACAUAUCAUUUUAAAAAAGCAAAUUUCAAUAAGAUUAGGGCAGCUCUACAACAUAUCGACUGGCAUAAACUCCUUAGUGAUAAAAACACUGAGGAUAAAUGGAAACUAUUCAAACAAAUAUUAGAAAGGUACAUUUCGCAGUAUGUACCAUUGGGUAAUAAAUACAAAAGCAACAAAUUAAAACCAAUGUGGCUUAGUAGAGAAGUAAAACAAGAGAUUAAAAAUAAGAAAAGGGCAUUUAAAGCAUUUAAAUCAGACAAAUCAGAGGCAACCUAUUUAAGAUAUAAGGAAGCCAAUAACGCUUGCAAAAAGGCAAUUAAAGUGGCUAAACUAGAAAAUGAGAAAUUGAUAGCCAAAGAAUGCAAAACCAGCCCCAAAAUUUUUUUCUAGUACAUCAAUUCUAAAAAAACAAAAAAUGAAAGUGUAGGUACACUGGAAACAGAGUUGGGUUUAUUAGCUAAUGAAGACCAGGAAAAAGCAGAAAUUUUAAAUAACAAUUUUUCUUCAGAAUAUAUUAAUGAGGAUCCUAUGGCAAGAGAUAUGCAAAGGAUUGCUGAAAAAACUUGCAGAUAACUUGUGAUUGGGUAACUCGAGAAAAGGUGCUACAGCUAUUAAAGAAAAUUAAUGUAAAUAAAGCUCCGGGGCCUGAUGGUAUUCACCCACGAGUACUUAAGGAGCUAAGUGGGGAAAUAAGUGAACCUCUGUAUUUAAUUUUUCAAGAUUCUUUUGUUUCAGGUAUUGUACUGGAGGAUUGGAGGAAGGCAGAUGUUGUUCCUAUAUUUAAAAAGGGUUCAAAAUCCUUGCCUGGGAAUUAUAGACCUGGGAGCUUAACUUCUGUAACUGGUAAAAUAUUUGAAGGGCUAGUAAGGGAUAAUAUUCAGGAAUUCAUUGGGAAGAACUUUGUUAUUAGCAAUAAUCAGAAUGGUUUUAUGAAACAUAGGUCAUGUCAAACUAACCUAAUUGCAUUCUACGAAGAAGUAAGUAGAAGUAUAGAUCAGGGUGUUGCAGUGGAUGUGAUCUACUUGGACUUUGCCAAGGCAUUUGAUACAGUUCCUCACAAUAGGUUAGUCUUCAAACUAAAAGAAAUUGGUCUAGAUGAAUAUUCUUGUUCUUGGGUAGAACAUUGGCUUAUGGAUAGAGUACAACGAGUUGUCAUUAAUGGUAAAUUUUCAGGCUGGACAAAAGUGGUAAAUGGUGUCCCUCAGGGUUCUGUUUUGGGACCACUUCUAUUUAACAUAUUUAUAAAGGAUCUUGAAAUAGGCAUUGAAAGCCAUGUAUCAGUGUUUGCAGAUGACACAAAACUUUGUUAAUUAAUAAAAUGUGAGCAGGAUAUUGCUUUGCUGCAGAGGGAUUUGGAUAGAUUGGGGGACUGGGCACUAAAAUGGCAGAUGAAAUUUAACGUAGAGAAAUGCAAAGUUAUGCACUUCGGGGUUAAGAAUGCACGAGCAGUUUACACCCUAAAUGGUUGUGAAUUAGGGAUAACCACACACGAGAAGGAUUUGGGAAUUGUUAUAGACAACAAAUUAGGCAGCAAUAUGCAAUGUCACUCUGCAGUUGCUAAGGCCAGUAAGGUUUUGUCAUGUAUAAAUAGGGGCAGGGCCGCUAACAGAAAUUGUGGCGCCCCUAACAUAGCUCAAGGUCUGGGCCCCCGGGUGUACGCCUCCAAAUCCUGCCCACAGGAAUACACACACACAGACACACACACAGGAAGAUUCACACAUACUAACAGACACAAAUACUGAAACAGACAUACACACAUAUAGACACAUACACAGAUACAGAUACACACACACACAUACUGACAUAAAUACAUACAUACAGACAUACAUACAUACUGACAAACUGACAUACAUACACAUAAAUACAUACUGACAUACAUACAUAAUGGCAUACAUACAUUCUGAUAUACAUACAUACACACACAUACAGACAUACUGACAUACACACACACAGACAUACAUGCAUACAUACUGACAUACAUACAUACAUACUGACAUACACACACAUACAUACUGACAUACAAACACAGACAUACAUACUGACAUACACGCACACACACUUGCAGACACAUACACAGACAUAUAUACAUACUGACAUACACACACACAUACAGAGAGACACAUACAUACAGACAUACACACAUACAUACACAGACAUACAUGCAUACUGACAUACAUACAGACAUGCAUACUGACAUACAUACAGACAUACAUACAGACAUACACACAGACAUAUAUACAUACUGACAUACACAGACAUACAUGCAUUCUAACACACACACAGACAUACAUGCAUACUAACACACACACAGACAUACAUACAUACAGACAUACACAGACAUACAUACAGACAUACAUGCAUACUGACAUACAUACAUAUAUACAUACUGACAUACACGCAGACAUACACACAGACAUAGAUACAGACAUACACACAGACAUUUAUACAUACUGACAUACACACACACACAGACCUACACAGACAUACAUGCAUACUGACAUACACACAGACAUACAUACUGACACACACAUACAUACACACACAUAAAGAUAGACACAUACAUACUGACAUACAUGCAGAUACAUACAUAUACACACACACACUUCAUUUAUCAGCCACCCUCCUCUUACCUUUAAGUUGCAGGAGGGUGGCUGGGGAUGAUGGGAGUGGAUGCCUCUCUUGUCCUCCGCUCUCCCUCUGGUCCACUCUCCGCCCGUGCGGAGUAAGCUGGGAGGAAGUGACCAGCCGUCACUUCCUCCCAGCAGCACUUGCGGUGUAGCCGCAAUUUAUUUUUAUUUUUUAAAGGGGCCCGGUCGCGCUAUUACACGGCCGCAGCGCUGACCGGGUCCCUGAAGAUAUAGGGCCCAUCGCGUGGCCCUAAAUGCUCUGGCCACCUGAUGGGCCCCGGUGCAGAUGCACCUGCGGCAGUUUUGCUGCCCCAUGUGGGGCCCGGAUAGCCGGGCCCCCUAGGGCCGCCGGGCCCAUGACAACCAUCAUGGUUGUCACCCCCUGAUGGCGGCCCUGAAUAGGGGCAUAAAUUCUUGGGAGGAAAAUAUAAUUUUGCCUUUUUAUAAAUCGCUGGUAAGACCACACCUUGAAUAUGCUGAGCAAUUUUGGGCACAUGUUCUAAAGAAAGAUAUCAUGGCACUAGAAAGAGUCCUGAGACGAGCUACAAAAUUAAUAAAAGGAAUGGAGCAUUUUAGUUAUGAAGAAAGGUUAAAGAAAUAAAUCUGUUUAGUUUGGAAAAACGAUGCCUGAGAGGGGAUAUGAUAACAUUAUACAAAUAUAUUCGGGGCCAGUACAAACCUUUAUCUGGAAAUCUAUUCAUAAACAGGGCUAUACAUAGGACACAAGGUCACACAUUUAGGCUGGAAGAAAGGAGAUUUCACCUAAGGCAAAGAAAAGGUUUUUUACAGUAAAAGCAAUAAGAAUAUGGAAUUCUCUGCCUGAAGAGGUGGUUUUGUCAGAGUCAUUACAGAUGUUUAAACUACAAUUGGAUAAAUACUUGCAAAAACAUAAUAUAGUGGGAUAUAAUUUCUAAUUAGUGUGGUAAUAGCUGCUUGAUCCAAGGAGACAUCUGACUGCUAUUUUGGGGUCAAGAAGGAAUUUUUUCCUAGUUUGUGGCAAAAUUGGAAGCGCUACAGACUGUUUUUUUGCCUUCUUUUGGAUCAACAGCAAAAACAUAUGUGAGGAAGGCUGAACUUGUUGGACGCAAGUCUCUUUUCAGCUAUGUAACUAUGUAACUAUGAUAGCUACCAUAGUAUGCCUGAUAGCUUAUAGAGCAGUUUCACUCAUCAUAUUUAAUGAGGGAAAUAUCUGUUUGUGAAAAAAUACUUACAUGUAUUUCAUAAAUCUCGUUUGUAACCACUACACUGUCCACCAAGACAAACUUUGAGGGAAAGCAUUUUUCCCUCAUUAUUUUCAAUGGAUUUUCUUUAAAAUACAUUUAGAAAAGAGAGGGAGAUUUUUACCCCAGUUUCCUAUAUAAAGAUACAAUCUUCCCAUCACUUGGGAUAAAUCCUUUGUUUUAUAUUCUUGUAACGAAUUGGACUAUAAAGAGGAGAUGGGGCACAGAAGAAUAGUUUCAGAGGCCUAUAUCUCCCUUCUCUUUUUCGCCCAUAUACCUUCAUGAACCUAGUCGAAGAAUAUUCACCAAAAAAAGAAACCACAUAUUAAAUGACCUCUGUAUUAAAGUGGCUCAUCCACCUCUUGUCACUAGCUGAGUAGUUUUAAAGGAUCACUAUAGGGUCAGGAACACAAACAUGUAUUCCUGACCCAUCUAGCCCCCUGGGCCCCUCAUGCCUCCAUAAAUAUUAAAAAUGUUACUGUAUUCAAGCCAAAAGCUGUAAAUCUGCAUGCUGUUAGACUUAGAAAAACAAGCAGUCUGCUGACAUGUGGUAGCCUGAUCCAAUCACAAUGCUUCCCCAUAGGAUUGGCUGAGACUGACAAAGAGGCAGAGCCAGCAUGAUUCAAACAGAGCCCUGGCCAAUCAGCAUCUCCUCAUAGAGAUGAACUGAAUCAAUGAAUCAGUGUCUGCAUGCAGAGGGAGGAGAUACUGAAUCACAGGAUGCUGUGCACAGUGCUGCCCUGUGCUCUGCUGACAGCAGAGGAUGCCUCCAUCAACUCCGAAGUCCCUUUGGUUCACUCUGAGUGACUGCAACUCGAGGUGUUCCUAGCUUUCAAUGUAAACACUGUAUUUUCCCAGAAAAUACAGUGUUUACAUGAGAAAGGCUGCAGGGAGCUAUAGUUCUCACCUGAACAACCUCAUUAAGCUGAAGUUGUUCAGGUGACUAUAGUGUCCCUUUAAUAAUCACAUUGAUUCCAUUGGAAUUUCUUUGAAAUUCUGGUACAAUCAAACGAGAUCAGAGUACAAAAGAGGGACUGCUUUGUCUUAUGGACAAUGUCCAAGCUGACAAAAGGCAGAGCUUCUGAUAUCAACAUCUGUCAAAUCCCACAGCCAGGAUGUGGUCUUGCAGGAUAGUUCAUGUACUCUCAAUCAUACUUGAAUGAAGAGCCAGGAGCUGGAGAACAAAGGGCAUCACUUGCAAAGGAGACCUUUAGGUAAUUUUAACAACCUUCAGCUUCAACACCAGGCACUUGAACACAAGGGGGGGUGGUUGCACUCACCUGAACAUGCUUAAAUGGGUUGCUGCUGGGGCUAUAUUAUACAAUAGAAAGAAAAAAAAACAAAUAAAAUCUGUCAACAUUGAAGUUGCUAUUUAGUAGAUAGGAGAGUGCGCUGGAUCUUGUGUAUUGUUUAUUGCACUUGAACACAAGAAGGAGAGGUCAUCUUCAUUGGUAGUUGACUCAAAUAAUUCCUCUUGGACGGAUACAUUUACAAUUCGCAAUAACCUGAAUACUGCAGUCUAUUUCUAGGAAUUCUCUUGUCCCACAGCAGGUUGCUUUUAAACAGGGUUUUGUGUUUGUGUUUUUAAUACAAUAUUAGAGGACACUAACAGGGAGCAAAGAGCAGAAAUAUUAUAUUACUUGUUUCCAUGGUGACUACUACAGUUUUAGAACUUUGCCCCAAAAUUGUUCUUCAUACACACAAACAACAAACACUUAAUUUUUUUGUUUUAUAAUUUCUGUACUGAACAGAGGGCAGCCAUCAUGCCAAUUAUGACUUGGCAUCAACUUAAAAGGAAUUAAAAUUGUAUAUACAAUGCUGGCAUAUGUAUAGUUGAAGCAUUAUUUAAUUUUUAUCAUUUUUUACAUGCUUGCAGGUAGAUUUGCCAAAUGGUAUGAGAAAAAAAGAAAAGAAACAGCAUUACUCAAAAAAAGAAAAAAAAAUGCCAUAAAAAGGAAGAUCUGUACUAUUUACUAUUAAGCCCAGAGGUUAUACAAUGGCAAGAAAAUAUAUAGGAAAGUGCCAAUUUACAUCUGCAAGCAGUCUCUAUGGAGCCGUAACAACGCCAUGUUAAAGCAGAACUAUCACAUCUGAGAUUUAUGCACAUCCUAAUAAAUAAUAUAACUUUC
Molecule: non-coding RNA, 15142 nt
Organism: Pelobates cultripes (western spadefoot toad)
Lineage: Eukaryota; Metazoa; Chordata; Amphibia; Anura; Pelobatidae
Source: the annotation of a GenBank genome assembly